AAUCCAUGCAUCUGACAUUUCUGAAUUAAAUCUUUGAAUUGUUCCCAAGCUUCAUAUAGUUUUUCAUCUUCCAAUUGCCGAAAAGAUGUGAUGUCAUUUCUCAGCUU
Molecule: small nucleolar RNA, 107 nt
Filed under: Gossypium hirsutum (cotton)
Lineage: Eukaryota; Viridiplantae; Streptophyta; Magnoliopsida; Malvales; Malvaceae
Description: Plant small nucleolar RNA R71
Rfam family: Plant small nucleolar RNA R71
About the family: R71 is a member of the C/D box family of snoRNAs containing the C (UGAUGA) and D (CUGA) box motifs. Multiple nearly identical copies of this snoRNA have been identified in Arabidopsis, and it is thought to function as a 2'-O-ribose methylation guide for 18S ribosomal RNA.
Source: Rfam by way of RNAcentral